AGCAGUUCUCCCCAUUUCCGGCUACAAACUUCUCUUCAGCAACUGCUGGAGUCUGUUAAGACCUCUGCCCUCCAGCAGAAGAGCGUGUGAACAAACCACUAAGGCGUCCCAUCAGGAAAAGGUGACCCCUGUGGAAGGGUUGUUCUCCCCCAUUCCCCAAGGGAUCUUGACCAACAGAUUGAGAACUGCCAUUCUAGGCACCCGGAACAGCAAAAGCAAAGGGUUUUGGGAAGCUACUACCCUGUCUGAGCGCACAGGCUAAUUCUACCCAUUCAGAGAUGGUCUUCCCUUGGUUCGAUCCUCUGGAAACGCCAUCACAGAGACACAGCACUCUGAGGACUGUGGCUUCUAGGUUAUUCCUAAAUCCAGCCAAGUUGACAGUGAAGAUUAAUCAUUGCACCAACAACACCACUGCUAAGUAUAUAUCCACAGGAGCUGAAGUCAGACUGCCAAAGGUGUGACACCAUUCACAACAGGAAGGUCAGGAAUCGGCAUAGGAAUCUGAUUAUCGACGGAUGAAUGAAUAAAGACAAUGUGGGAGAAACAGACGAUGGAGUUUUGUUUGCUCUCCCUCUCUCUCUCUCUCACACACACACAAGAAAUCCUUCUAUUUGUAGCAAAAUGGAAAAACUGUAGAGGACAUUAUAUUAAGUGUAACAAACCAGACACAGAAAGACAAGCACAGAGUGUUUUUUUUCCCCCUCAAACAAAAAUUGACCUGAAGGGUGAUUAUUAGGGAUUAGAAAAGUAUAUAUAUGGCAGGGAGGGUAGAGAAUAGGAGGUGGGAUUUGAUCAGUGUACACUGAACACAUAUGUGGAAAUAGCACAGCUAUCCUAUUAAUAGUUACAAUUAAUGUGAUUCAAUAAAAAUGGAGAGUCUAACUUGAAAUUAUGACCCAGAGGUUGCUUCUCAGUUCGCUGGUGCCAGGUAACUCUUAUCCUUUGAUUCAGGGCAGAGUGGGAAGAGGCUGAUGGCUGCAUUUUCCCUCUGGAGCUUGUUAUUUUUCCUCUCAACAGACGGAUUAUUUGUAAACAAAAAUUAAAGAUAAAAAUCAAUUCCCAUCAUCUUAAAAAAAUGUGGUGAGCAUGUCCCCAGAGUUAUGAGAGCUGCAGAGUAAGUCAUUUGCACAGUGCUGUUGGAAGGCAGAGCCCAAUUCCCCACAGGUCGGGGUCCAGCGAGCUGAUGCUUCAGUGCCCAUAGACGGACGUUCUGCUGCAGAAACUGAGGCAACAUGAUGGAUCUUUAGAAAGCAUAGCAACGUACUUCAGUGUAGCUUAUUAAUACAUGAGAACACCUGAUGGGAGGGCUGCUGUCCUCAGUGGUUUCGACGUGUUAAUUAACAAACUUUCUUCUAGAAUUAGGUACUGCUAUUGUUAUUGUUCAAUUUCUCAAAAGGAAGAAAUAGAGGCAUGGAAUUGUUAAGCCAGGAUGCAUACAUGGGCAGUUGAAUUCGAGCACAGGUUAUUGUGGUGGCUUAAUGUUACUGGUCAGUUUAUAGAAGUGGCCAUUGUGGUACCAGCAAAUAUCACAUCCCCACUGAUGAACCAGGGCAUUAGGGAUUAAGUAAGGUAAGAGGCAAAAAUAUCCAGAUACCAGAUAAUCAGGAAAAGGGAGAAAAUCCAGGUCUGCAUUUAUUUUAGUCGUGGCUACCUGGAUUGUUCUUGUGAAGUUUUAAAUGUUGUUUUACUCUAAAUAUGAAAAUCUGAGAAUGAAAUCUAUUCUUUUUAUGCUAAUUAGAAUUUAAUAAAAGAGGGAAAGGUGUUGUUUUGAAAAGAGACUUCAGUGAUGAUGACAUUCCUGAAGUUACUUAUCUUGGUGAUACUGAAAGACCUGGAUAAACCCAGACCCCUCUAACAGGAAGAAAAGAGCCAAAAAUCUAGGUUCGGUUCAGUGACUCUUUCAGGAACUAUCUGAAGACAAAGUUAGAUUGUAAUCUUGAGAAUAAUCUUGAGAAUCAGGGAGUUACCCCCUUGUGAUUAUCACUGGUAUUUUCGGAAUUUUCAAUGACUUGGAUUACUGGUUGUGGUUUCUUCUCUUAAAUACCACUUCUCCCCGUACUUGGGGUCGAACUCUUCCCCUGCGUGGGUUAUGAGUUUUGGCCCCAGUGCACUGGUACCUGUCAAUAAACCUCGAGUGAU
Molecule: non-coding RNA, 2139 nt
Organism: Myodes glareolus (Bank vole)
Lineage: Eukaryota; Metazoa; Chordata; Mammalia; Rodentia; Cricetidae
Source: RefSeq, a predicted model, not a curated record